CAGAACUUUACAUGCUGAUGAUGGGAAUAAAAAAAAAAUGGCACAACCACAACAGAAAAGUUUAGGAGUUCCUUAAUUUCAGUCCCAGGAUUCCCACUAUCCAACAACAACAUCAUCAUCAUCAACAACAACAACCACAACAAACCCCGAAAACAGCAAGUGGAUAUGGAGAAAUUGGAUCCCUGGUGCACUGUUGGUGGGAACACAGAAUGGAGCAGCUGCUAUGGAAAACAGUAUGGAGAUUCCUAAAAAAUUAAAAAUAUAAUUACCGUAUAAUCUCAUAACCCCACUUCUGGGUAGAUAUCCAAAAGAAUUAAAAGCAGGAUCUCGAAGACAUCUUUGCAUACUCAUGUUCUUUGCAGCAUUACUUAUAACAACCAAGAGGUGGAAGCAACCUGAAUGUCCACGGACUGAUGAAUGGAUGCAGAAAAUGUGGUAUAUACAUAUGAUGGACUAUUAUUCAGCCUUAGAAAGAAAGAAGUCUUGUCACAUGCUACAACUUAGAUGAACCUUGAGGACAUUAUACAAAGUGAAAUGAGCUAGUCAUAAAAAAGACAAAUAUUGCAGGAUUCUACUUGUAUGAGGUAAGUAGAAUGGUGGUCGAAGGGGUUAGGGGAGGGGAAAUGGGGAGUUGUUCAAUGGAUAUAGUGUUUCUGUUUGUCGAGACAAAAAAGUUCUAGAGAUCUGUUGUACAAGAAUGUAAGUAUAGUUAACAUUACUGGCCUGUACAAUUAAAACCAGUUAAG
Molecule: long non-coding RNA, 746 nt
Filed under: Pan troglodytes (chimpanzee)
Lineage: Eukaryota; Metazoa; Chordata; Mammalia; Primates; Hominidae
Description: long non-coding RNA NONPTRT017435
Source: RNAcentral